UGGCUACUAAAUCUAUCUAUAUAUAUAUAUCCAGUCUGGUUACAAAUGUUUGUAUUAUCAAGUAGAUCAGAUUGAACCAGAAAAAAUUAAAUGGGGCGAAAUGAAAGCACUCGAUCAGAGCUCAAGCCGGGUGAUCACAUUUACAGUGAUAAGGGUGAGAUUGAUAUUGUGAUUGCGAAACUGAAUGUCUACAAUCAUCACGGAAUAUAUGUGGGGGACGGCAUUGUCAUUCAUUUCCUAGCGCCUGCAAAGCAAAGCAACUCUUCUGUCCCAUGUAAAAGAUGCGGGCACACACCACGCUUACACUAUGGGAUCGUCCGUACAUGCGUGGAUUGCUUUCUUGAUGGUCAUUCAUUAUAUAUAAAUUAUUGGGGUGACUGCAAGCCACCCUAUGAGGUUGUGAAGACUGCCAUGGAAUUUUGCGAUGGAAUAAGGUCCUUUGGUGAGUAUGAGCUUUUGAAUAACAACUGUGAGCACUUUGCGACCUUUUGUAAAACAGGCAAAAAGUCAUCUAAGGAAAUUAAGGCUGCAGUUAUAAAAAUUACCCAGGCAGGAUGCAUUGGUGCACUUGGUCUGCUCGAAUAUGCAAGGCAAGUGCUAAAAACAAAGGAGAGCCCCGUCACCUUGGAACAUCGUGCGUGAAGGGUUGAACGAAGAAUGAAUACUAAGAGUUUCUCUGUUUAACUACAUCAAAUAAAUCAAUUUGCACGCAUGUAACUGGACCUGUGAGAUGCUCUCCUAGUUUGUGUCCAGUAUCCUUAGUUCUCCUGGGAACUUGGGGUUCACUGCUUGUAAACGAAAACUCCUCAAUCGUUUGAUUGAAUAAAGCCCCACUUUUCCUUUCC
Molecule: RNA transcript, 845 nt
Organism: Mangifera indica (mango)
Lineage: Eukaryota; Viridiplantae; Streptophyta; Magnoliopsida; Sapindales; Anacardiaceae
Gene name: protein LEAD-SENSITIVE 1-like
Exons: 3
Source: RefSeq, a predicted model, not a curated record